GACCUGACUGCUAUCAGAUUGAUACUAAGCCAUGCGAGUCUUUGUAGUAAUACAAGGCAGACGGCUCAGUAACACGUAGUCAACCUACCCUAUGGACAAGAAUAAUCUCGGGAAACUGGGCAUAAUUCUUGAUAGAUCAUAAUGCCUGGAAUGGUUUAUGGUUAAAAUGAUUCGUCGCCAUAGGAUGGGACUGCGGCCUAUCAGCUUGUUGGUGAGGUAAUGGCCCACCAAGGCGAUUACAGGUACGGGCUCUGAGAGGAGAAGCCCGGAGAUGGGUACUGAGACACGGACCCAGGCCCUAUGGGGCGCAGCAGGCGAGAAAACUUUGCAAUGUGCGAAAGCACGACAAGGUUAAUCCGAGUGAUUUCUGCUAAAGAAAUCUUUUGCCAGUCAUAAAACCACUGGUGAAUAAGGGGUGGGCAAGUUCUGAUGUCAGCCGCCGCGGUAAAACCAGCACCUCAAGUGGUCAGGAUGAUUAUUGGGCCUAAAGCAUCCGUAGCCGGCUUUGUUAGUUUUCGGUUAAAUCCAUGUGCUCAACGCAUGGGCUGCCGAAAAUACUGCAUAGCUAGGGAGUGGGAGAGGUAGACGGUACUCAGUAGGAAGGGGUAAAAUCCUUUGAUCUAUUGAUGACCACCUGUGGCGAAGGCGGUCUACCAGAACACGUUCGACGGUGAGGGAUGAAAGCUGGGGGAGCAAACCGGAUUAGAUACCCGGGUAGUCCUAGCUGUAAACGAUGCAGACUCGAUGAUGCAUUGGCAUAUAGCCAGUGCAGUGUCGCAGGGAAGCCGUUAAGUCUGCCGCCUGGGAAGUACGUACGCAAGUAUGAAACUUAAAGGAAUUGGCGGGGGAGCAC
Molecule: ribosomal RNA, 853 nt
Filed under: uncultured crenarchaeote
Lineage: Archaea; Thermoproteati; Thermoproteota
Description: bacterial SSU rRNA
Rfam family: Archaeal small subunit ribosomal RNA
Source: RNAcentral